AACGAACGCUGGCGGCAUGCCUAACACAUGCAAGUCGAACGAGACCUCCGGGUCUUUUGGCGCACGGGUGCGUAACGCGUGGGAACCUGCCCUUAGGUUCGGAAUACCUCCCCGAAAGGGGUGCUAAUACCGGAUAAUGUCUUCGGACCAAAGAUUUAUUGCGUUUGGAUGGGCCCGCGUUGGAUUAGCUAGUUGGUAGGGUAAAAGCCUACCAAGGCGACGAUUCAUAGCUGGUCUGAGAGGAUGAGCAGCCACACUGGGACUGAGACACGGCCCAGACUCCUACGGGAUGGAGCAGUGGGGAAUAGUGGACAAUGGGCGAAGGGCUGAUCCAGCAAGGCCGGGUGAGUGAUGAAGGCCUUAGGGUUGUAAAGCUCUUUUACCCGGGAUGAUAAUGACGGUACCGGGAGAAUAAGCGCCGGCUAACUACGUG
This 433-nucleotide ribosomal RNA is filed under the name uncultured bacterium. Its description in RNAcentral is "partial 16S ribosomal RNA". It matches the Rfam family "Bacterial small subunit ribosomal RNA", at positions 29 to 507 of the family's 1533-position model. The record is from RNAcentral.